UGAAACUAAUUCUAGAGAACCAUCUGUUGUAGAGAGCAAUCUUCUCAAAAUGGUUCAGGUAUAAAUUGGGGCAAGAACACUUGUGGUGUUAUUCUUGAGUUUGUCUUCCUUUCUCCUAUUUUUAGCUAUUAUACAAAAAUUGCUUUCCUGUGGAUACAUUUUGGUCAUGUCUUGUUAUGUCAGUGUUGUUUGACAAUAUGCACUGUGGCAGCUAUGAUAACAAGGGAAAUGCUCUAACUUGUGGACACAUGCUGAGGGAGUGCAUCAAAUGAAAAGUAGUUUGGUUUCUUUCUCAAUAAGGAUGAUAUAGCAGAGGUAUAUUUGCAGCCAUAUGGGGAAUUGGGAUAUUAUCUUUAACAUGACUGAUCAAUCUUCUUAUAUCUGGCAGUUGAGAAAUAACAUGCACGAUUUCUCAUCUAAUCAUAUAAUCCCUCUUAUGAAGCUGAAAAUUUGUGUUCUUAACCAGCGGGUAUCAUCAUCUCAUUCAGUUAUAUGAUGUGUAUGUUGUUUUUGGUAUGCCUUAGCUUGUUGUAGUCUAAUAUGUUGUUAAGUCAGGUUUCAGCGAUUUGGAUCAUUUGACGAAUCUAUGCAACUACUCAAGAAACUUAUAAAGCAGUUGAGGAGAAAUGCCUUAGAAGAGGCUUUAGUCAAAUUGAACGUAAACAGAGAAGUGUUAUGAACUUUACUGAUUAUCAGAAGAUGCCGGAGAAGAACAUGAGUUUUGCAGUUUUACGCCUCUUUCAGAUUGUUUAUUUUAUAAAUUUAUAAUUCAUUAUAAAAUUUAAA
RNAcentral lists this long non-coding RNA (786 nucleotides) under Salvia miltiorrhiza (redroot sage). RNAcentral's name for it is "long non-coding RNA (SMIL_LNC007616)". The record is from RNAcentral. Lineage: Eukaryota; Viridiplantae; Streptophyta; Magnoliopsida; Lamiales; Lamiaceae.